This 725-nucleotide ribosomal RNA is filed under the name uncultured bacterium. Its description in RNAcentral is "bacterial SSU rRNA". It matches the Rfam family "Bacterial small subunit ribosomal RNA", at positions 771 to 1501 of the family's 1533-position model. The record is from RNAcentral.
AACAGGAUUAGAUACCCUGGUAGUCCACGCCCUAAACGAUGUCUACUAGUUGUCGGGUCUUAAUUGACUUGGUAACGCAGCUAACGCGUGAAGUAGACCGCCUGGGGAGUACGGUCGCAAGAUUAAAACUCAGAGGAAUUGACGGGGACCCGCACAAGCGGUGGAUGAUGUGGAUUAAUUCGACGCAACGCGAAAAACCUUACCUACCCUUGACAUGGCUGGAAUCCUUGAGAGAUCAGGGAGUGCUCGAAAGAGAACCAGUACACAGGUGCUGCAUGGCUGUCGUCAGCUCGUGUCGUGAGAUGUUGGGUUAAGUCCCGCAACGAGCGCAACCCUUGUCAUUAGUUGCUACGAAAGGGCACUCUAAUGAGACUGCCGGUGACAAACCGGAGGAAGGUGGGGAUGACGUCAAGUCCUCAUGGCCCUUAUGGGUAGGGCUUCACACGUCAUACAAUGGUACAUACAGAGCGCCGCCAACCCGCGAGGGGGAGCUGAUCGCAGAAAGUGUAUCGUAGUCCGGAUUGUAGUCUGCAACUCGACUGCAUGAAGUUGGAAUCGCUAGUAAUCGCGGAUCAGCAUGUCGCGGUGAAUACGUUCCCGGGUCUUGUACACACCGCCCGUCACACCAUGGGAGCGGGUUUUACCAGAAGUAGGUAGCUUAACCGUAAGGAGGGCGCUUACCACGGUAGGAUUCGUGACUGGGGUGAAGUCGUAACAAGGUAACC